CACGUAGGCGGACUAUUAAGUCAGGGGUGAAAUCCCGGGGCUCAACCCCGGAACUGCCUUUGAUACUGCUAGUCUCGAGUCCGGAAGAGGUGAGUGGAAUUCCGAGUGUAGAGGUGAAAUUCGUAGAUAUUCGGAGGAACACCAGUGGCGAAGGCGGCUCACUGGUCCGGUACUGACGCUGAGGUGCGAAAGCGUGGGGAGCAAACA
Molecule: ribosomal RNA, 207 nt
Filed under: uncultured bacterium
Lineage: Bacteria
Description: partial 16S ribosomal RNA
Rfam family: Bacterial small subunit ribosomal RNA
Source: RNAcentral